AUACGAACCGUCCAAACGUUAUUCGGAAUCAUUGGGCUUAAAGGGUGCGUAGGCGGCGCGGUAAGUGAGAUGUGAAAUCCCUCGGCUCAACCGAGGAACUGCGUUUCAUACUGCCGUGCUUGAGGGAGACAGGGGUAAGCGGAACUGAUGGUGGUGCGGUGAAAUGCGUUGAUAUCAUCAGGAACACCAGUGGCGAAAGCGGCUUACUGGGUCUCUUCUGACGCUGAGGCACGAAAGCUAGGGUAGCGAACGGGAUUAGAAACCCCAGUAGUCC
Molecule: ribosomal RNA, 274 nt
Filed under: uncultured bacterium
Lineage: Bacteria
Description: partial 16S ribosomal RNA
Rfam family: Bacterial small subunit ribosomal RNA
Source: RNAcentral